GUAUUGGUGGUUAAGUGGUAGAAUUCCCACCUUCCAUGCUGGAGACCCAGGUUCAAUUUCCAGCCAAUGCA
RNAcentral lists this transfer RNA (71 nucleotides) under Loxodonta africana (African savanna elephant). It matches the Rfam family "tRNA". Rfam says of the family: Transfer RNA (tRNA) molecules are approximately 80 nucleotides in length. Their secondary structure includes four short double-helical elements and three loops (D, anti-codon, and T loops). Lineage: Eukaryota; Metazoa; Chordata; Mammalia; Proboscidea; Elephantidae. The record is from Rfam by way of RNAcentral.